Molecule: long non-coding RNA, 503 nt
Organism: Nelumbo nucifera (sacred lotus)
Lineage: Eukaryota; Viridiplantae; Streptophyta; Magnoliopsida; Proteales; Nelumbonaceae
Source: RefSeq, a predicted model, not a curated record
UCUCGUUUUUACAUUGUUUGUAGGAAGUGGAGGCGUGACAAAUCACCACAUCAUGAGGGGUUGUUGAGAGGAAAGGGUUUGUUAACUUCUCAGCAUCAUCCAUUUUUAAUGCCACCGAAGCUUUCCAACAGUACAAAACUAAAAAUGCAGGUGUAUAUGGAGUUCACAGCUGAUGAGUCAUUAAUUUUUGCAAUUUCUGAAGAUGUAUGGAAUAAACCACUUGGACGUGGAAAUGAGGUCAGAUUGCAUCUUAGAGAGUAAGCUAGGAAGUAUUUGGAGGAAUAUAAAUUAAAAAUCUGAAAUUCGGCCAGGUAAGACGGAAGGCUGAUAUCGAGAAUUUCGAGGAUCGAAGGAGAGAUCUGGAGACUGCUACCUCUGAUCGGAUUCUUAGACAUUUUUAUUUCGUUCCUGUUAUUUAUUUGUCUUUGUUAUUUAUUUAUUCUUAUGUAGUUGUUAUUCUUAGUACCAUUCCAAUGUGGUUUUAAUGAAUUCCAUUUUUUUAA